GAUGAACGCUGGCGGCGUGCCUAAUACAUGCAAGUCGAGCGAACAGACGAGGAGCUUGCUCCUCUGACGUUAGCGGCGGACGGGUGAGUAACACGUGGAUAACCUACCUAUAAGACUGGGAUAACUUCGGGAAACCGGAGCUAAUACCGGAUAAUAUAUUGAACCGCAUGGUUCAAUAGUGAAAGACGGUUUUGCUGUCACUUAUAGAUGGAUCCGCGCCGCAUUAGCUAGUUGGUAAGGUGACGGCUUACCAAGGCAACGAUGCGUAGCCGACCUGAGAGGGUGAUCGGCCACACUGGAACUGAGACACGGUCCAGACUCCUACGGGAGGCAGCAGUAGGGAAUCUUCCGCAACGGGCGAAAGCCUGACGGAGCAACGCCGCGUGAGUGAUGAAGGUCUUCGGAUCGUAAAACUCUGUUAUUAGGGAAGAACAAAUGUGUAAGUAACUAUGCACGUCUUGACGGUACCUAAUCAGAAAGCCACGGCUAACUACGUG
This 497-nucleotide ribosomal RNA is filed under the name uncultured bacterium. Its description in RNAcentral is "partial 16S ribosomal RNA". It matches the Rfam family "Bacterial small subunit ribosomal RNA", at positions 28 to 507 of the family's 1533-position model. The record is from RNAcentral.